GGGCUCGUAGCUCAGAUGGUUAGAGUGCCACGUUGACAUCGUGGAGGUCCCCAGUUCGAUCCUGGGCGAGCCCACCA
RNAcentral lists this transfer RNA (77 nucleotides) under subsurface metagenome. Its description in RNAcentral is "tRNA-Val". It matches the Rfam family "tRNA". From Rfam's summary of the family: Transfer RNA (tRNA) molecules are approximately 80 nucleotides in length. Their secondary structure includes four short double-helical elements and three loops (D, anti-codon, and T loops). Further hydrogen bonds mediate the characteristic L-shaped molecular structure. tRNAs have two regions of fundamental functional importance: the anti-codon, which is responsible for specific mRNA codon recognition, and the 3' end, to which the tRNAs corresponding amino acid is attached (by aminoacyl-tRNA synthetases). tRNAs cope with the degeneracy of the genetic code in two manners: having more than one tRNA (with a specific anti-codon) for a particular amino acid; and 'wobble' base-pairing, i.e. permitting non-standard base-pairing at the 3rd anti-codon position. The record is from RNAcentral.